Long non-coding RNA from Bos taurus (domestic cattle), 501 nucleotides. The record is from Ensembl. Lineage: Eukaryota; Metazoa; Chordata; Mammalia; Artiodactyla; Bovidae.
GCUAGAUGAUUCACCCUACAGCCACACAACUCUUUUCAGAGGCACAGUCCUUGUAAAGCUGAUGAGGACCUCCUUCUCAACAGCAAUUUGGGAGUUAAUCCUCAGCCAAACAACUCUGUUAAAUAAUUCAGAAGUACAGUUUCUAAAAAGAUUUGUAGAGAAAAUGUAGAACAUAGUACCUAUAUAUCACUUUAUUGAAAACUCCAGAGAUCCUUCUGCUCUCCAAGCAGAUGGACAUCCCACUCUAUCAAAGGUUUUGUCUGUUGGCUCUUUUAAUGAGUCUGGUGCUGCUGACUCUUGCAGAGUAAAAAAGAGAAAGGACCUGUAGAAGCAUUUAUUAUUGAGAUACCAUAUUGAUUGACACAUCCUAGAAUGUUGAGCCAACAUAUAGAGGAGUAUGAACUGAAGUGUCACCUAGACUCCUGAAGACUUUGUAAGAUUAUUGAAAAAGAAGUUUUGCUUGAGGAGGAAGAAGUCCAGUUUCCUGUCAGUGGUGGAGAG